RNAcentral lists this ribosomal RNA (486 nucleotides) under uncultured bacterium. Its description in RNAcentral is "partial 16S ribosomal RNA". It matches the Rfam family "Bacterial small subunit ribosomal RNA", at positions 30 to 507 of the family's 1533-position model. The record is from RNAcentral.
AUUGAACGCUGGCGGCAUGCCUUACACAUGCAAGUCGAACGGCAGCACGGGUGCUUGCCCCUGGUGGCGAGUGGCGAACGGGUGAGUAAUACGUCGGAACAUGUCCUGUAGUGGGGGAUAGCCCGGCGAAAGCCGGAUUAAUACCGCAUACGAUCUACGGAUGAAAGCGGGGGACCUUCGGGCCUCGCGCUAUAGGGUUGGCCGAUGGCUGAUUAGCUAGUUGGUGGGGUAAAGGCCUACCAAGGCGACGAUCAGUAGCUGGUCUGAGAGGACGACCAGCCACACUGGGACUGAGACACGGCCCAGACUCCUACGGGAGGCAGCAGUGGGGAAUUUUGGACAAUGGGCGAAAGCCUGAUCCAGCAAUGCCGCGUGUGUGAAGAAGGCCUUCGGGUUGUAAAGCACUUUUGUCCGGAAAGAAAUCCUUGGCCCUAAUACGGUCGGGGGAUGACGGUACCGGAAGAAUAAGCACCGGCUAACUACGUG